This 225-nucleotide long non-coding RNA is filed under the name Lathyrus oleraceus (garden pea). RNAcentral describes it as "Pisum sativum (pea) long non-coding RNA (PSAT_LNC006538)". Lineage: Eukaryota; Viridiplantae; Streptophyta; Magnoliopsida; Fabales; Fabaceae. The record is from RNAcentral.
UGGUUCGGAUGCUGAUGUAAGUCCAGUGAUUGGCAUUCAGGCUCCAUGUUUGCCUGUGUGUUUGUUUGUUUGUUUGGCGUGCGUGAGCCGAACUACGGCAGCUCUGAUUCUCGUUCCAGACGAGAUACGUAGGCAUAGGAUGCGAUGUCCUAUCGAGCUCUCUUCCCCUUAACCCCACCUGUGUUGUCUUCGGUGCGUGUGUGUGUGGUGUUUUAGCAACCUUUU